Prunus persica (peach) is the source of this 110-nucleotide non-coding RNA. NCBI's taxonomy places the organism in Eukaryota, Viridiplantae, Streptophyta, Magnoliopsida, Rosales, Rosaceae. The record is from Rfam.
UUGGGAGCUCAUUGACUUCGGAGUCAUUGGAACUCCAAAGUUAAGCGAGUUGGAGCUAGAGCAAUCCCAAUAUGGGUGACCCACUGGGAAGUUACUCGUGAGUUCCCAUA